GGUUGCGAUCAUACCAGCACUAAUGCACCAGAUCCAAUUAGAACUCCGUAGUUAAGCGUGCUUGGCCGAGAGUAGUACUAGGAUGGUUGAACCCCUGGGAAGUCCUCGUGUUGCAACCC
This 119-nucleotide ribosomal RNA is filed under the name Helianthus annuus (common sunflower). Lineage: Eukaryota; Viridiplantae; Streptophyta; Magnoliopsida; Asterales; Asteraceae. The record is from RNAcentral.